Small nuclear RNA from Peromyscus maniculatus bairdii (prairie deer mouse), 159 nucleotides. Its record names the gene U1. It matches the Rfam family "U1 spliceosomal RNA". From Rfam's summary of the family: U1 is a small nuclear RNA (snRNA) component of the spliceosome (involved in pre-mRNA splicing). Its 5' end forms complementary base pairs with the 5' splice junction, thus defining the 5' donor site of an intron. NCBI's taxonomy places the organism in Eukaryota, Metazoa, Chordata, Mammalia, Rodentia, Cricetidae. The record is from Ensembl.
AGUCAUACCUGGCAGGGGAGAUGCUCAUAAAGGUUGUUUUCACAGCGCAUGGCCUAUUCAUUGUAUUCCAAAUGUUUUGACCCCUGCAUUUUCCCUAAAUACGGGAAACGUGACUGUAUAAUUUGUGGUAACGGGGAAAUGCAUAACUGCUAAGCCACC